GCGCCUUAGCCGGUUGAGCUACAGGCACCGAAGCCUACACCUCAUUUUCAAGUUCUAGAAGCUGGGUGUCUGAGAUCAAGAUGCCAGCAUGAUUGGGUACUGGUGAAAUCCCUCUUCCUGGUUGCAGACUGCUGACUUGUUAUAUUCUCAUGUGGAAAGAAGGGCCACUUGCCUGUCCAGGCUCUUCUCAUGGACUAACAUAAUCACCUCCUGACUGGUCAUCUGCUACUCGUCUUUGCUUCCCAUCAAAACCAUCUUCCACACAGCAAGGCCUUUCUAAACCCAAUUCUGCAAGAUUUCUACUUCUGGGAAGAUGGAGUAGACAUACUUUUCCAUAUUCCUCUCACUGAGUAUAAUUAAUAAACCUGGACAUUAUUUAUAAAACAGUCACAAGAAGACUGAAAGGUGGAGAGAAGGAGACACACUGGCUAAGGACCUCAGGACCUGAGCACUGACACAGGAAUGAAUUUUCUGGGUUUUCCUUUUGCCUCUUUUCUCUCAGAAGCCAGCAGUCUGGAAACACCAACAAGCACAGAUAAAAAAUGCCCCCCCAUGAAAGCCUGCUCCCUGUAAUCAAAGAACCAGGAAAGGAAGCAGCCUAUCAAGACAAAAUCUUAGACAAUAACAGCUCUAAAUAAGCCAGACACCAGAGAAUAAUCUGUGGCCCAGUCCCAUCUACUCCAUCAGAAGCUUCUGAUGAAAACACUGAACUGUGAUGUGGUUAACCAGGAGAGACACCAGGGUAGGAUUAUUUCACAGUCUGGGCACAUGGUCUUAGAAUUGUUUGGCACAUCUUGUCAGCAAAGUAUGAAACAGGAAUUACUUUCUUGUACUCUGGAAAAGAGCACCACCUAGUGAUAAAACAAAAGCAAAACCUCUAAAUGCUGUGCCUCUGCCCCUGAGGGUCAAAGUCAAGUCCAUGUGGGUUCUUAGAAGGGUCAUUACCCAGGCUCUGCUUGGGGCGGUGGUUGGGGGUGUACAAUCAGGAGAAGGGACUGAUGAAGCCCAGAUGGAAUGUGCCUGUCUAUUCCAGGUCAGAGCCAGGCUCUUUCCUGUAGGAGGGAAAAGUCAUUAUGAGACAUGUUAUCUAAUGUGGGACUCAGCAAAAUCCAAAAUUGCUGGGUCUCUGGAGAGUGAAAAGAAUAAGGGAUGAGGGAGAGGCAGAGAGAGAGAUGAGAAGUGAUGCUUCUUUGGUCCUCACAACCAGACAUCUAGGGAAGUGAGGGCUUUGAUUAGUCUCGUGUGGCAGAUGGGACAGCAGAGGCACAGAUAGGUUAGAUGGCAGCACAGGUUAAGAGAUAAAGCCUCAGCUCAGAUGAAGCUGAUUUGCAGAGUCUACUCUCAAAAAAACAGGCUUUCCAUUGGAACAUAUACAAAGGCAGAAACCUUUAGCAACAUAAUGGUACAACUACGGAGACUGUGACUUAAUGUGUAUUUAAUCUCAUCAGACUGUUACGAUAAAAGUAAGUAUCCCUACUUGGAAUAUCUUUAUUUUUUACCUAUAGACCCUUGAACUGACUAUUAAGUUUCCUUUUCAGUAGGAGAAACCUUAAACAUUGGGAAAGGGAAUUUUGUUCUUGUUCCCUAGGAAAUAAGAGAGAAAAGAAGACAUUUAAUAAACCAAACAAGCCAGUGAACUUGAGGACUGGUGCUGCCCCUGACAGAGGAACAGCCACAUGGCAGAAGGGCAUCUCUGGAGAGCAGGCUAGCCAAAGGAGGCUGUGAAGUGAUCAGGGCCACAGUCUUCCUCCCAAGCACACUAUACUACAGUGUGAGGCAAAUGUUCCCAGAGGUGCAGUCUCUGCACGGCUCAGCAGUGAGGGUGCACAGGAGGGGGACUGUAUGUGGCACCAGCUGGUUAUAUUCCCAUAGGACAGCAGGACCCCAGGUGGAAGCCUAGGAGACAGAGAUGAGAAUCAAGCUCCCAGAAGAGGGGACUACAAGGACUAAUAGGUGUUUGAGGGCCUCAAACAUUGAACAGAAGAAAUGAACAUAUUAUACAGGAUAAAUGCCAGCAGAUAAAUAUGCGUGUUCAUAGGAAUCUUACUAGAAAGCAUAGAAAAGAUAAUAUACAUUCAUUACAAAUUUAAGGAUAAACCAUGGCCUGGCUUUGACCUAGGUAUUUUUCCAAAAUCCAUUAAGAUUCAAGGCUUUAGCCUUGGCUUUUUGAAAGCCAGAGUCAAGUUCUCACUUUAAUGUCAUUUGGGCCAUCGCUGACCUUGUGCUGAAUGAAUGAUUAUAUACUAGCAUGAGUCACCAUCAUAUUCAA
Long non-coding RNA from Otolemur garnettii (small-eared galago), 2269 nucleotides. RefSeq lists it as uncharacterized. NCBI's taxonomy places the organism in Eukaryota, Metazoa, Chordata, Mammalia, Primates, Galagidae. The transcript has 3 exons. The record is from RefSeq and is a predicted model, not a curated record.